Dama dama (fallow deer) is the source of this 2242-nucleotide RNA transcript. It is a transcript of the gene named CD19 molecule, with no coding region annotated. The transcript is spliced from 16 exons. The record is from RefSeq and is a predicted model, not a curated record. Lineage: Eukaryota; Metazoa; Chordata; Mammalia; Artiodactyla; Cervidae.
CCCGCCUGCCCCAGCAUCCCCCGCGCGGCGAAGCUGGGCGCCCCGGGGAGUCUGGCCACCAUGCCACCUCCUCUCCUCUUCCUCCUCUUCCUUACCCCUAUGGGGGUCAGGCCCGAGGAUCCACGCCUAGUGGAGGCUAAAGAGGGAGGCAAUGCUGUGCUUCCAUGCCUUGAAGGUUCCUCGGAUGGUCCCCCUGAACACCUGGCCUGGUUUCGGGGCUCCCAAUUAAAACCCUUCUUAGAGUUGAGCCUGGGGUUACCAGGCCUGGGCAUCCAUGUGGGGCCUCUGGGCACCCUGAAGGAGCCCCAGGGAACCCUGCUGUUUCUCUUCAAUGUCUCCAAACAUAUGGGGGGCUUCUACCUGUGCCAGUCAGGCCUGCCUUCUGAGCAGGGCUGGCAGCCCGGCUGGACGGUCAGCGUGAAAGACAGCGGGAAACUGUUCCGGUGGAAUGCUUCAGACCUCAGUGACCUAGGCUGUGACUCGGGGAACAUCUCAACGGGCCGCAAGCCCUCUUCUGGUCACCUCACAAAGUCCCAGCUGCAUGUGUGGGGCUGGGACCACUUUAAGGAGAUCUCACACACAGAAACGGCCUGUGCUCCAUCAAAUAGCACAUUGAACCAGAGUAACAACCGUGACCUCACUGUGGCCCCGGGCUCCACGCUCUUGCUGUCCUGUGGGGCCUCCCGUACCUCCCUCGUCAGAGGCUCUGUCUCCUGGAUCCACAAGUAUCCCAUGAAGCCUGAUGUCAAAUUGCUGAGCCUAAACGUGAGCGAACAUGCCCAGCACAGAGAGAUGUGGGUCAUGGGCACCCUUGGGGGAAAGGUGGUUCUGUUACUGCCCGAGGCUACAGCUCAAGAUGCUGACACCUAUCGUUGUAACCACGGCAACAAGACCACCCAGAUGCAGCUGAAGGUCACGGCCCAGUCAGUAUGGCAUUGGCUGCUGGAGACUGGUGUCUGGAAAGUCCCUGUUGCGACUUUAAUUUAUCUGAUCUUCUGCCUGACUUCCCUGGUGGGUUUUCUUUAUUUUCGAAGAGCCCUGAUCCUGAGGAGGAAAAGAAAGCGAAUGACAGAUCCCACUAGAAGGUUCUUCAAAGUGACGCCUCCCCCGGGAAACGGAGCCAGCAGCCAGUACGGAAACAUGCUUUCCCUCUCCAUGCCCCACUCUGGCACGGGACGCGCCCUGCGGUGGGCUGCGGGCCUCGGAGCCGCCGCGCCGUCCUACGGAAACCCGCGCAGCGACGUCCAGGAGGCUAGAGCCGCGGGGUCCCGGAGCCCGCCAGGAACCGGCCCAGAAGAAGAGGAAGGGGAGGCCUACGAGGAACCGGACAGUGAAGAGGGCUCCGAGUUUUACGAGAACGACUCCAAGCUUGGGCAGGACCAACUCUCCCAGGAUGGCAGCGGCUAUGAGAACCCUGAGGAAGGGAGCUUGGAUCCUCAGGAUGAAGACUCCUUUUCUAACGGAGCUGAGUCUUAUGAGAAUGAAGAUGAAGAACUGGCCCCGACUGUCACCAGGACAACAGACUUCCUGAGCCCCCAUGGAUCAGCCUGGGACCCCAGCAGGGAGGCAACCUCCCUUGGGUCCCAAUCCUAUGAGGAUAUGAGAGGGAUCUUGUAUGCAGCUCCCCAGCUCCGUUUCGUUCGAGCCCAGCCUGGUGCCAACCAUGAGGAAGAUGCAGACUCUUAUGAGAACAUGGAUAAUCCCGAUGGACCAGAGCCAGCAUGGGGAGGAGGGGCUCGCAUAGGGUGGAGCACCAGGUGACUCCCUUCAGCCUGAGCCUCUUCAGGGCCCUGAGGUCCUCACCCGACUUCGAAAUCUGGGACCCCAAGAAGACAGCGUCAGCCUCUGGAACAAUGUUUUGUCAGCCUUUGGAUUUACAGGAACAGUUGUCAGUUGAAGACACUCAUCAUCAAUUACAGGAAGAACUGUCAGUUAAAGACCCUAAUGGAAGAACCAUGGACCGGAAAGAAUCUUCAGUUACAGGUCCCAAGAGGAAAAGAUGUACGUUUCAUCUCCUAGAAGAAAUCCAUUACCCCAGCAACUCGGACAGUGAGAAGCCAUCAUUACCCUGAACUCCCACUUUUCUCCAGUGGACAUUCCUUCAAAACAACCCCUCCCAAUGUCUUCCCUUUUUUUCCUAUACAAUGACCUUCUCUGUUUAUUGGCCUUGCCUAUGGCUUUUGCUAUAACUUCCUUGUUCUCUACUGUUCCUGAAUAAAUCUAUUCUUGCUGGUAAAAAUAA